AUACGAAGGGGGCUAGCGUUGUUCGGAAUUACUGGGCGUAAAGCGCGUGUAGGCGGAUCGUUAAGUCAGGGGUGAAAGCCCGGGGCUCAACCCCGGAACUGCCCUUGAUACUGGCGAUCUAGAGUCCGGAAGAGGUGGGCGGAAUUCCCGGUGUAGAGGUGAAAUUCGUAGAUAUCGGGAGGAACACUAGUGGCGAAGGCGGCUCACUGGUCCGGUACUGACGCUGAGACGCGAAAGCGUGGGGAGCAAACAGGAUUAGAAACCCUGGUAGUCC
Molecule: ribosomal RNA, 274 nt
Filed under: uncultured bacterium
Lineage: Bacteria
Description: partial 16S ribosomal RNA
Rfam family: Bacterial small subunit ribosomal RNA
Source: RNAcentral